Molecule: non-coding RNA, 81 nt
Organism: Pelobates cultripes (western spadefoot toad)
Lineage: Eukaryota; Metazoa; Chordata; Amphibia; Anura; Pelobatidae
Source: the annotation of a GenBank genome assembly
UGUGUGUGUGUGUGUGUGUGUGUGUGUGUGUAUGGACUCACACACUCUACACACACACACAGCCCUCCAUACACACACACU